This 423-nucleotide unclassified non-coding RNA is filed under the name soil metagenome. Its description in RNAcentral is "partial contains 5.8S ribosomal RNA, internal transcribed spacer 2, and large subunit ribosomal RNA". The stretch from base 1 to 120 matches the Rfam family "5.8S ribosomal RNA", at positions 35 to 154 of the family's 154-position model. The record is from RNAcentral.
GAUGAAGAACGUAGUGAAAUGCGAUAAGUAAUAUGAAUUGCAGAAUUCAGUGAAUCAUCGAAUCUUUGAACGCACCUUGCGCUCCCUGGUAUUCCGGGGAGCACGCCUGUUCGAGUGUCGCGAAAUUCUUCAAGCCUUGGAUGGAUUUUUUUUUGUCUGUCCUUGGGCUUGGUUGUUGGGCUUUGCCGUGUCCUUCAUUGGGACGGCUGGCCUUAAAAGCAUUAGCCGAUCCUCGUGUGGUACUGGUUCUACUCAGCGUGAUAACAGUCUGAUCGUUGAGGACAUCUUCUGGAUGGCCAGUCAUCAUUUGGGUUGCUUCUAAACCGGUUUCGCAGAUUGCUCAAUCUGUGUGCCACUUUUCAGCUUUGACCUCGAAUCAGGUGGGACUACCCGCUGAACUUAAGCAUAUCAAUAAGCGGAGGA